AAACUUUCAACAACGGAUCUCUUGGCUCUGGCAUCGAUGAAGAACGCAGCGAAAUGCGAUACGUAAUGUGAAUUGCAGAAUUCAGUGAACCAUCGAAUCUUUGAACGCACAUUGCGCCCGCCAGUAUUCUGGCGGGCAUGCCUGUCCGAGCGUCAUUU
Molecule: ribosomal RNA, 158 nt
Filed under: Penicillifer macrosporus
Lineage: Eukaryota; Fungi; Ascomycota; Sordariomycetes; Hypocreales; Nectriaceae
Description: 5.8S ribosomal RNA
Rfam family: 5.8S ribosomal RNA
About the family: 5.8S ribosomal RNA (5.8S rRNA) is a component of the large subunit of the eukaryotic ribosome. It is transcribed by RNA polymerase I as part of the 45S precursor that also contains 18S and 28S rRNA.
Source: RNAcentral